Molecule: ribosomal RNA, 486 nt
Filed under: uncultured bacterium
Lineage: Bacteria
Description: partial 16S ribosomal RNA
Rfam family: Bacterial small subunit ribosomal RNA
Source: RNAcentral
AUUGAACGCUGGCGGCAUGCCUUACACAUGCAAGUCGAACGGCAGCACGGGUGCUUGCACCUGGUGGCGAGUGGCGAACGGGUGAGUAAUACAUCGGAACAUGUCCUGUAGUGGGGGAUAGCCCGGCGAAAGCCGGAUUAAUACCGCAUACGAUCUACGGAUGAAAGCGGGGGACCUUCGGGCCUCGCGCUAUAGGGUUGGCCGAUGGCUGAUUAGCUAGUUGGUGGGGUAAAGGCCUACCAAGGCGACGAUCAGUAGCUGGUCUGAGAGGACGACCAGCCACACUGGGACUGAGACACGGCCCAGACUCCUACGGGAGGCAGCAGUGGGGAAUUUUGGACAAUGGGCGAAAGCAUGAUCCAGCAAUGCCGCGUGUGUGAAGAAGGCCUUCGGGUUGUAAAGCACUUUUGUCCGGAAAGAAAUCCUUGGCCCUAAUACGGUCGGGGGAUGACGGUACCGGAAGAAUAAGCACCGGCUAACUACGUG